UCUCUUUGGGUGUGUGCAAAACCUAGAAUUCUAGGGUUUGAUCCUAAGAUUUUGGGAAGAAAAAAAAGUAAGAGAGAAAAUAUUUUUUUUUAUCUUUCUUCUACCUCUUCAUCUUCUCCAAAAAUCCAUCUUCAGCCUCUGAAAAAAUUUCAUAGAUUUGAAGAAGAGAUCCAGAUCAGUCAAGAAGAAGGUCUUCGCGCGAGCAAGCACUUCUGAGAAGACCGAUC
RNAcentral lists this long non-coding RNA (227 nucleotides) under Elaeis guineensis (African oil palm). RNAcentral's name for it is "long non-coding RNA (EGUI_LNC040946)". The record is from RNAcentral. Lineage: Eukaryota; Viridiplantae; Streptophyta; Magnoliopsida; Arecales; Arecaceae.